Molecule: long non-coding RNA, 3583 nt
Organism: Brachypodium distachyon (stiff brome)
Lineage: Eukaryota; Viridiplantae; Streptophyta; Magnoliopsida; Poales; Poaceae
Exons: 11
Source: RefSeq, a predicted model, not a curated record
GAAUUUAGUAAACUCUGGGACGAAUGGUUCGUAUCUUUCGAGAAAAAAAGAAGAAGUUAAAUUCGUUAGUCGCCUGUUCACCCCCCUCUGGCCUCUUCGUGCGGGGAUUCGGCAGUGGGCGUCGGCGUGGGGCAUCACAUCUUCCGGCCGGUGUGAUUGGCGGGUGUCCUUGGCGGCGUGGUCCGCAUCUGGCCUCGGCAGCGGCAGAUCUGUGGGUUGCGGCGGUGUCGGGCAACGCGGCAGGUGGUGGCUGCGUGCGGCGCUGCGGAUGGCAUCGGCAAGUAAGCCUGGCGAACGGCGGGUGGCUGUGUCCGUGGAACUGCUGGUUUUGCGGCAGUAGCCACCUUGUAUUGGUACCGAAUCUGGUCAACUUAAAUUGCAUGGGCGUCCUGCUGCGGCCACAACGCUAGCACAUGGCCGCGAAAUCUAGCGCCUUGCAAUUUAUCUUCUCAGGUUGCCGUUCAGGAUUAGAAGCUUCAAGUCUAAAAUUGUCCAGUUGAGGAGGAGCUAGCUCCUGUGUGUUUAAUUUUUUUGGAAAUACCAGCCGGAUGGUGCCUUUUUGAGACCCCACAUGUCAACCGUGAUUACUGCAUCAUAUCUCCUUGCCUGAAGAACCCCGAAAAAACUGAUGAAUAUUUUGGUACUAUACCAUGUUCCCUGCAGUUUUUCCAUAAUGUAUUUUGAGUGAGACCAAGAUUUCUAAGCUUUAUUUGCUUGGUGCAGUUUAGUAUGAGGAGAGACUUGAGGAUGCAAUUAGUGAAUUGAAAUCUGGCGCUAUGAAAGAUAUUGUGCCUUGCCGCUCUUGAAUAUUUUGUAUCGUAUCCUAGCUCUUGGAUAUGUGUUCUUGAUGCUACCAAAAUCAUGUCUAAAUUACUUUCUCGAAGACAGGGUAACGUUUGGACCUUUUAUUUCUCUGAUCCUCUCAAUCUCUCUAAAGAACACACGAUUUCAUCCCAGUUCAUUGGUAAAAUGAUCCCAAUUCCCGUAUAAGAAUUUGAUUUUGACUCUGGAUUAUUUCACUCUUGCAUAAUUGUUUGGCACAAUGUAGCAAUCAGUGCAAAGUAGACAAUGGCAUGAUUUGGGAUGUGUUUCUUUUUUUUUUACUGUAAUUUCGGCUGUGUUUCCAUUGCCCUCAUAGGUAAAACUAAUCUAUGACAAUACGAAAUUGGCUUAGCAGAACAUGUUCAGGAGGGAAGGGUUAUUACUUUGGAGUUUGAUUAUUUCCACUUGGUGAAUGCUUAUGUCCCAAAUUCUGGCCGUGGUUUGGUAGACUAUUAAGAAUUAUCUUUCCUCUUAUUAUUUCUGUUGCUUCAUUUUUACUAUCUGUAUCUAUUUUUUUUUUACUAUGCCCAACCUCCCCGGUACCCGACAAGGUACCUCCGGCUCGGUCGCCACCUUGCUGUGCCUGUACUUGCCGCCUGCCCCGCCGAAUGCUUCCUGGAUGAAUCGAUGGACUUUUGUUUUCUGUAUGCUCGUAUUUUUCCUUGUUUGUGAUUAAAAUUUGUUGAUGCUAUCACAACUGGCGUAGUUGAUUGCAUCAACCAUGAGAAAUAUCAUGUUGGAUCAAGUUGGCUUGCACCUGUUCGAUGGAAUGCUCGUGAGAGUGUUUUUUUUCUGGGUAUACUGCAGGUUGAUCCAGCAUUGGGCGUGGGCAGCACAUUGGAUUCGUUGGUAAGCGUCCUCUUAGACCGAGAACGUGCUCGGCCACCUCGUCCCCUUCACCAACAAGGAUUGUUCUCAGCACCAUGUUGCCAAGGAAGGUGAUGGAUGGGUGGAAAAUCGAUACUCAACAUCCUUGAAGACACUACUGAACAGAGCAAUCCUACAGCAGUCUUAAGGUCCAAGUGUUCUUUUAUGUAUUUUCAGAGUCAAAGGAGAAUCAGCAUAGAGCCGAAGAUCUCUGCUACCUCAUCUUCCAUGAUUUGAACAAAAUCAGGCCUUUGCCCAAUUCUCUGUAGAGUUCAGGCCCAUGAUAACCCACAUGUGGCAAACUUGUUUUGAAGCUCUGGUUGUGCAUCCUCUCCCUAGAAACUAAGUUAGCACAUGUUUGUAUAGCCGAUUAUUUAUUUUUUUAGUCUCCUCGUACAUGUAAUGCAUAUUGCUUAUGAAUGUGUCCUUUGCAUUGGCAGUUGUGCAACAAAACAUAUCCUCAACAUGUUUGCAGCGCUUGAAUGAUUCAUGGCUUGUUAGCUUUUGUAAUUCACGCAUGGAACAAAUGACUUGCAUAUUGUGCAUUAUUUCCUCCCAAAUUCAUAUUUUUCCUAAUUCAUGAUUCGGGCGUGAGAUCAAUUUCCGCUCAAACAACGUCCGACUUGAUCUAGUGUAAUUACCGCAUGCAACAUAAUUUCAGCACAAUGAGGGUUACAGGUAAAACUCCCGAUAAAGUAAAAAAAAAAUCUGUAUACAAGGGAGCCAGGUUCCAGCUACGUUAUAUUUUGAUGACUCUCAGGGUGCAUCGGAAGGUGGUCUUUGGUUACAUCUUGAAGCUCAUUCUGCGGCCAGUGAUGCUACAGUGCUGCCCAAUGCUCGUGAGACUGCAGUCUCUUUCUCCCCGCCUCUUCGGCAGGUUCCACCACGGGCAUCAAAUAACCCUAGAAAGAGGAAGGAGACAAUAGCAGAUUUGGGGGUGGUUAAUGAUGAUGAUGAUUUUGUUCAAGGUCCUCCAAAACCACCGGCGAGUUCCUCCAAGCCUCCCAAAACUCCUGUUCAGAAGGUUAAGAAGUCCAAAUCCUCAGUUGCUGGUCCCAAACCUUCCGAGGAAAUGGAAAUUAGAGAGCUGGAUUUAAAGGCGAAGGUUGACGAGUUAGCAAGGAGCAACAUGCUACUCAACAUAAAGCAUCAGCAACUACUUCUGAAGCUACUAGAAAUGCUCUGCUAGAAGCUGAAUCAUUUGAUUAAUUAAUCUCAAGUCAAAAGACUUGGAAGAGAAGAAGGGAGAGUUGAAAUUAUUGGAAGACAAAGUGCAAAGCUUGGAGAAAGUAUGGUCAUUGGUUGAAGAAGAAUCUUUGAAAAAUCCGAACCCUGGUACAUUUCGUCAUGCAUAUCAACCUUUUUAUUCACUAAUGGUAUUUUCUUCAUCUUUAGUUGCAGAAGUAUAGGCAGCAUAGGUUGAUGAAGCUGUUAGGUUGCAGUAUUUUAUAACCUAACUGUCCCUUGUAAUACGUGGCUACUUAAAAGUCAAAAUGGCUCAACUGCCUAAACCAACCUCACAAGGUGUGCACUACGUACUCAAGGUUCAAAGCCAGGCAAAAUUUUGCAAGAACCCAGUUCAGCUUCAGCAGCGACCCAUGCGCCGCGGGAAGGCACACCUCAGCAGCCACCAAGGGGAUUGUUAGACUUCAAGCUUGCCGGCAGGGUGUUCACGAGUGUGAUGUGCAUCUUCUUCCGUAGCACUCUGCAUAGCUAGUCUCAAGAUGCAUAUACCUCUUUGUUUUGUUUUGCUUUCUGAACUUCGUGAAGUACUCACAAGCCCACCAUAUUUUACCUUCUGUAAUUCAUUCACGUUUUCUUUUAUACAGUAGGACAAACUUCCACGAUAUAAGAUAUAUUUGAUGUGAUUUUAAGAAUCUAGCUGUAAUGUGUA